This 256-nucleotide ribosomal RNA is filed under the name uncultured bacterium. RNAcentral describes it as "partial 16S ribosomal RNA". It matches the Rfam family "Bacterial small subunit ribosomal RNA", at positions 524 to 776 of the family's 1533-position model. The record is from RNAcentral.
UACGUAGGAUGCUAGCGUUGUCCGGAUUUACUGGGCGUAAAGCGCGCGCAGGCGGCACUGUAAGUAAGGUGUGAAAUAUCCCUGCUCAACGGGGAGGGUGCACUUUAGACUGCGAGAGCUAGAGGACGGUAGAGGGGGGGUGGAAUUGCUGGUGUAGCGGUGAAAUGCGUAGAGAUCAGCAGGAACACCCGUGGCGAAGGCGGCCCCCUGGGCCGAACCUGACGGCUGAGGCGCGAAGGCUAGGGGAGCGAACGGG